GACGAACGCUGGCGGCGUGCUUAACACAUGCAAGUCGAACGGAAAGGCCCUGCUUUGGUGGGGUGCUCGAGUGGCGAACGGGUGAGUAACACGUGAGUAACCUGCCCUUGACUUUGGGAUAACUUCAGGAAACUGGGUCUAAUACCGGAUAGGAGCUCCUUCUGCAUGGUGGGGGUUGGAAAGUUUCUGCGGUUGGGGAUGGACUCGCGGCUUAUCAGCUUGUUGGUGGGGUAGUGGCUUACCAAGGCUUUGACGGGUAGCCGGCCUGAGAGGGUGACCGGCCACAUUGGGACUGAGAUACGGCCCAGACUCCUACGGGAGGCAGCAGUGGGGAAUAUUGCACAAUGGGCGGAAGCCUGAUGCAGCAACGCCGCGUGCGGGAUGACGGCCUUCGGGUUGUAAACCGCUUUCGCCUGUGACGAAGCGUGAGUGACGGUAAUGGGUAAAGAAGCACCGGCUAACUACGUG
This 468-nucleotide ribosomal RNA is filed under the name uncultured bacterium. RNAcentral's name for it is "partial 16S ribosomal RNA". It matches the Rfam family "Bacterial small subunit ribosomal RNA", at positions 28 to 507 of the family's 1533-position model. The record is from RNAcentral.